This 534-nucleotide ribosomal RNA is filed under the name Stemonitopsis typhina. RNAcentral's name for it is "partial small subunit ribosomal RNA". It matches the Rfam family "Eukaryotic small subunit ribosomal RNA", at positions 76 to 405 of the family's 1831-position model. Lineage: Eukaryota; Evosea; Eumycetozoa; Stemonitida; Stemonitidae. The record is from RNAcentral.
UCUCAUCGAAUCUGCGAACCGCUCCGCAAAACAGUUGUAAGCCAAGGCUAGUUUUGCCCCUUUCUGCAGAGGAUGCAUUACGCUUUACAGCGGGUCUUGAUCUUCCUCGCUAUUGUAGAGCGGGGCAAAUACGGAUAUUCUCGGUAAUUCUGAGACUAAUACGUGAAUUAAUAGAACCUCGCUCCUAGCCUUCCCGUAAGGGAUAGCGAAGGCGAGGGGUGUGUGGAUAUACCAAAGGUCCCUACGGAUCCGGAGAGAACGCACGCUCUGACUUAGCGUACCUUCGCCUUUAAACAGCGUGGGGGGAGGCUUACGUCGACGCAUUCGGGCGCUUCAGUGGGCUUGCUCGGUCUUUUCUAAGGCUGAGCUCCGCUUUUUGUCGCUGUUCAGGCUUGCUCUCGGUGUAUGCGCCUUAGCUAAGCCCUAGGCAGGCGCUUCUUACCUAUCAACCAGAUGGCAGCACAAGAGACAUGCCAUAGUCGCAACGGGUACAGAGGAUUAGAGUUCGAUCCUGGAGAGUGGGCCUGAGAGAUU